CCUGCCGCUGCGCCCCAUCCCCUCCCCGCCUCUCCCCCCACCACCUUAUCUGUUGCCGCAUCAAGAUAUUAAGUUCGCCGGCGGGGCAGAUCAAGUUGGAUCCCGGUCUUCCACCCACACCGCCGGUCUCCGGUACGCUUGCUCGUCCAUCUCGCCCCGGCUUCUUGCACCGCCGCUGCUCCACCAGUCGGAUCCGUGCCGGAUCGACCCCGUCCUGGUCCGUCUGCGUGGCUCCUCGAUCUGCCGUCGCUGUGGCUCCGCCUGGAUCGGUCGAUUCGCUGCCGGCCCGGUCGAUCCCCCGCUGCAGUGGCUAUACCUGGAUCCUCCCUGUGUCGGCUGGCUCUCACGCGUGGCCGCCGCCUCUCUUGUCGCCGUCGCCAGCUUGUGCUGCUCCGCCGAGGCCACCGCGGGUGCUGAUCUCCUCCAACGCUGCCUCGGCUCAUCUGCGUCUUGGCCGGCCCAUUGCUCCACACUGGCUCCCCGCACCUCUGCUCUCUAGUGCUCAACAUUGCCGAAUGUUUUCUGCUACCUUGUCCUUCACUGCAGAGGACAGAUGAAACCACAACAAUUGUUUGGAGGGAUGAAGGCCUUGAUGAUUAUCCAGUGAACCGUAUAUCAUUGAAGGAGCUUCGCAGUCAAGUGAUGUAUGCUUUUCCUUUUACCCGAACUAAGAGUUCAAGCAAACAAAAAUAUGUUUUUUGUGUGUGAAUUAGUCCGCAUUAUGGUUUUAUUGCAUCAAUGUUUUCGGGAUUGUUGCAAAUGCUCUUGAUACCAUGUUCCAAAAAGGGGAUCGGGUUGCAAUAGACAUGCCUAUGACAUGCAAUGCAAUCAUCAUAUAUUUGGCAAUCAUCCUUGGUGGUUUUGUUGUUGUACCAAUCUCAGAUAGUUUUGCUCCUCAGGAGAUCGGUACUCGAAUGAAUGUCUCAAAAGCAAAGGCAAUUUUUACUCAGGUGAGACAUGGAGCCAGUCUUUCAUGAUAUAUCCUUUUAGUACUAUAGUGGGGCUUAUUCUAAAAUUCACAAGAUUUCAGUAUUUGAUAGUUAGAGGAGGGAAAAAAGUUCCACUUUACAGGUAUGAUUGAUCUAUUUACUUUAGUUUGGUUUUGUGUUCUGCUAAUUUGGCUUGCUUAAAAUUUUUGAAGGCAAGAACCCGAGCAAACAAGUUGUUCGUUAGUCUUCAGUUUUGUACUAGAGAACUAGAUAUUGAACUAAGAAUGAACCAUCGACUCAUUUUCUUGUACAUGUUUGUGCCUAAUAUGUAAAUGUUGUACUCUGCAAUCAAGUAUGGUUUUAUCCUGUGAAACAUUAUGCUUGUAUUGUUUAAAGAAUUCUUUACUCAUGCUUUUGCUUAACUGAUCUGAAGUACUGAACAGCCAUAGACUCACAGUUUAUAGUAAUUCUAUUAUAUUGCUGUGUUGUGCAAGGGACUUCAUUGAAAGCUAUUGUAAUUCCUGCAAGUAGAGGCUAUCAUUUUCUUGUGGAAGAACUUGACUGUUGAGGAAAGUAAAAGGCUUGCCCGUGAAAAUGCAAAAAAACAUAAUAGCAUGUGGAUUCGAUGUUGAAAUAGACCAGGUUUGGACAAGCAGAUGGAGAAAACAAGCAUACAAUGAAUGAAAAUCAUCGGCUCUUUCCUCCAACAAGCAAACCAAUACAGCCCAAGAAGUAAGCUCAGCUGAACUAAAAAGCCAGCAGACAUCUACAAAUGCGGCUAUGAGCUGAAGCUCUUCAUUUCCACCUUCUAGCUUACAAUUUCCUCAUGCACUAUUAGUUGUGUGUCUUUCUUUUCAUGCCAAUCUGGAUGAACAAUGUUGUGUGUCAGUUAUCUCGAUGUGGUCGUGUAGGUCUGUUUUUAACUUUGGAAGGCCAAUUUGGGUCCAUGUCAACAUGACGCCAGCAUUAGGACUGAAAUGUGAAAUUAACUUCUUAGCUCAUGCUUGUUUGAUCUCUGUUUUAGCUCAUGCUUCGUAGCUCAUUUAGAUGCUUGCAAGAUUCAGGUUCACACUCAAGAUUCGUUUCUUUGCUACUUUAAUGGUUCAUCGGAUUCCAAAUUUCCAAUGUUAAUCCGAUAUUCAGAUAGGAUUUGUGUGCCUACAGCUAUAACUGUAUAGUGGAUCGCUCGAUGAUUCAUAUCAAAUAUGCUCAUAGCUAAAAAGCUUCCGUGUCUUUAUUUUUUCUUUUAGCAAAGACCAAAGACCAUCAUUUCAGAGGCGGAUAUAUUGGAUGCUUGAUCCGUAAGAGUUCUUUACUUUUUUUUUAUUCUUUCUUGUUCUGAGAAUCUUCAUAUCGAUUUUUCUCAUGCUCUGGGUCUCUUCAUUCACGGAGCAACUUAUGACCAUUUUAUCUUCACCACACUACACCAUGUUGUAUUUUUAUCUCGUGCUAUGCGAUAAUAUUUUUUUUCUUUCUUUUUUGUAUUAGCUCAUUAUUACAAGUUAUGUAUAUCUUUCUACUAUGAUACCAG
Phragmites australis (common reed) is the source of this 2460-nucleotide long non-coding RNA. RefSeq lists it as uncharacterized. The record is from RefSeq and is a predicted model, not a curated record. The transcript has 3 exons. Lineage: Eukaryota; Viridiplantae; Streptophyta; Magnoliopsida; Poales; Poaceae.